CUGCACGCGUGUUACACUGAAGGGAUCAGCGUGUCUUCCCUGACCGAGAGGUCCGGGUAACCCGCUGAACCCCCUUCGUGGUAGGGAUCGGAGCUUGCAAUUAUUCUCCGUGAACCAGGAAUGCCCAGUAAGCGCAAGUCAUAAGCUUGCGUUGAUUACGUC
RNAcentral lists this ribosomal RNA (162 nucleotides) under uncultured eukaryote. RNAcentral's name for it is "partial 18S ribosomal RNA". It matches the Rfam family "Eukaryotic small subunit ribosomal RNA", at positions 1487 to 1651 of the family's 1831-position model. The record is from RNAcentral.